UAGGGAAUCUUCGGCAAUGGGGGGAACCCUGACCGAGCAACGCCGCGUGAGUGAAGAAGGUUUUCGGAUCGUAAAGCUCUGUUGUUAAGGAAGAACGAGUGUGAGAAUGGAAAGUUCAUGCUGUGACGGUACUUAACCAGAAAGGGACGGCUAACUACGUGCCAGCAGCCGCGGUAAUACGUAGGUCCCGAGCGUUGUCCGGAUUUAUUGGGCGUAAAGCGAGCGCAGGCGGUUAGAAAAGUCUGAAGUGAAAGGCAGUGGCUCAACCAAUGUAGGCUUUGGAAACUGUUUAACUUGAGUGCAGAAGGGGAGAGUGGAAUUCCAUGUGUAGCGGUGAAAUGCGUAGAUAUAUGGAGGAACACCGGUGGCGAAAGCGGCUCUCUGGUCUGUAACUGACGCUGAGGCUCGAAAGCGUGGGGAGCGAACAGG
This 429-nucleotide ribosomal RNA is filed under the name Verrucomicrobiota bacterium. Its description in RNAcentral is "Verrucomicrobia bacterium partial 16S ribosomal RNA". It matches the Rfam family "Bacterial small subunit ribosomal RNA", at positions 355 to 776 of the family's 1533-position model. The record is from RNAcentral. Lineage: Bacteria; Pseudomonadati; Verrucomicrobiota.